CCUACGGGAGGCUGCAGUGGGGAAUAUUGCACAAUGGGCGCAAGCCUGAUGCAGCCAUGCCGCGUGUGUGAAGAAGGCCUUCGGGUUGUAAAGCACUUUCAGCGGGGAGGAAGGCGGUGAGGUUAAUAACCUCAUCGAUUGACGUUACCCGCAGAAGAAGCACCGGCUAACUCCGUGCCAGCAGCCGCGGUAAUACGGAGGGUGCAAGCGUUAAUCGGAAUUACUGGGCGUAAAGCGCACGCAGGCGGUCUGUCAAGUCGGAUGUGAAAUCCCCGGGCUCAACCUGGGAACUGCACUCGAAACUGGCAGGCUAGAGUCUUGUAGAGGGGGGUAGAAUUCCAGGUGUAGCGGUGAAAUGCGUAGAGAUCUGGAGGGAUACCGGUGGCGAAGGCGGCCCCCUGGACAAAGACUGACGCUCAGGUGCGAAAGCGUGGGGAGCAAACAGGAUUAGAUACCCGUGUAGUC
RNAcentral lists this ribosomal RNA (465 nucleotides) under uncultured Klebsiella sp. RNAcentral's name for it is "bacterial SSU rRNA". It matches the Rfam family "Bacterial small subunit ribosomal RNA", at positions 338 to 795 of the family's 1533-position model. Lineage: Bacteria; Pseudomonadati; Pseudomonadota; Gammaproteobacteria; Enterobacterales; Enterobacteriaceae. The record is from RNAcentral.